This 435-nucleotide ribosomal RNA is filed under the name Asterionella ralfsii. RNAcentral describes it as "bacterial SSU rRNA". It matches the Rfam family "Bacterial small subunit ribosomal RNA", at positions 100 to 565 of the family's 1533-position model. Lineage: Eukaryota; Bacillariophyta; Fragilariophyceae; Tabellariales; Tabellariaceae. The record is from RNAcentral.
GGACGGGUGAGUAACGCGUGAGAAUUUGCCUUUAGGAGGGGGAUAACAACUGGAAACGGUUGCUAAUACCCCAUAUGCUUUAGAGUGAAAUGGAUUUUCCGCCUAAAGAGAAGCUUGCGGCUGAUUAGCUUGUUGGUGAGGUAAUGGCUCACCAAGGCGACGAUCAGUAUCUGGUUUGAGAGGACGAUCAGGCACACUGGAACUGAGACACGGUCCAGACUCCUACGGGAGGCAGCAGUGGGGAAUUUUCCGCAAUGGGCGAAAGCCUGACGGAGCAAUACCGCGUGAGGGAUGACUGCCUAUGGGUUGUAAACCUCUUUUUUCAGGGAGGAACAAAAUGACGUGUACCUGAAGAAUAAGCAUCGGCUAACUCCGUGCCAGCAGCCGCGGUAAGACGGAGGAUGCAAGUGUUAUCCGGAAUCACUGGGCGUAAAG